Long non-coding RNA from Eucalyptus grandis, 771 nucleotides. RefSeq lists it as uncharacterized. Lineage: Eukaryota; Viridiplantae; Streptophyta; Magnoliopsida; Myrtales; Myrtaceae. The record is from RefSeq and is a predicted model, not a curated record. The transcript is spliced from 3 exons.
UGCGAGGAGACAAGUAGAAGACGACGGAGUUGGAAAAGGGGUGGGGCACUUUCAAAACCUUGUUGACGAAGGAGUUCUAAAUAUUGCAGGUAAGAAUAAGAAUGAUGAAUGAGUUGGAAAAGAUCGGCCAAUUACCGAGGCACAUAAUGGACCAAAUCCUGUCGCGUUUGCCAAUUGAGGAUGCAAUGAGGACUAGUAUUUCUGUCAAGAAAGUGGAGAAGUUCAUGCUCUCUCACGAAGAAUUUUGUGCCCUGAGUGACAUUGACCACUGGAUUCUUCAUCUAUCCAGAGUGUCCGUCAAAGAAAUUGUAACUCGACAAUUGGAAAGGGCAAUAUUACAAGAUUCCCACCUCCUUAUUCAAUUGCCAGAACUUGAUUCAUUUGGAAUUGUACAGAUGUUUGGUGAAAAUCUCGUCGAGGUUUGCAGGACUUAAGAACUUGGAAAGUUUGGAUCUUCGACACAUUGAGUUGUCAUCGGACGGGCUUAAGGCUUUGAUUUUCUCUCUGCCCCCUCCUAAAACGUUUGAAGUUGGGGAACUUAGAGGGGAUUUAAGCAAAUUAACAUUAGAGCUGGCAAAAGCAAAUUAACAUUAGAGCUGGCAACCUCGAGUGGCUUGAUGUUGGAGAAGCUUUUCAGGAUGUCGCUUUCAGUGUUAUGAACAGUUUGAAGUCGGUCACGGUUGGUUUCUCUGAUGAUAUUGCUAACAAAUAUGGACCCGGCAAUGCCAACUCGAACAAAUUGCACAAACUCUUCCGAAAUCUGCCCCAAAU